RNAcentral lists this ribosomal RNA (274 nucleotides) under uncultured bacterium. Its description in RNAcentral is "partial 16S ribosomal RNA". It matches the Rfam family "Bacterial small subunit ribosomal RNA", at positions 523 to 796 of the family's 1533-position model. The record is from RNAcentral.
AUACGGAGGGUGCAAGCGUUACUCGGAAUCACUGGGCGUAAAGCGCGCGCAGGCGGUCUUUUAAGUUGGAUGUGAAAGCCUACGGCUCAACCGUAGAACUGCAUCCAAAACUAUUAGACUAGAGUGUGGGAGAGGAAGAUGGAAUUAGUUGUGUAGGGGUAAAAUCCGUAGAGAUAACUAGGAAUACCAAAAGCGAAGGCAAUCUUCUGGAACACUACUGACGCUGAGGCGCGAAGGCGUGGGGAGCAAACAGGAUUAGAAACCCUUGUAGUCC